UAUAUAGUCAGAAAGCUAUACUUUUGGUAAGAAUUUAUAUCAUAGCGAUAACUACGCGAUUCGAAACUGUCAUGUGUGUACUGGCAGUGACCGCCGACAGUCGCGAGUACGCAUGUCCGUCCUUUGGAGGGCGGAAGUCAUUCUAACGGAGUUACUAGCAAUACAAAGUGAAGGUGAACGAAGCCUCUCCUGCUGUUGUUGCUGCUGCCUCUGCUGCUGCUGCUGCUGCUGUCAUUAGCUUUCACUUUUGGCCUCCCACUCGCUUCCAGUCCGCCGCUCAUAUAUCUCUCUCGCUCUAUCUCUAUCAAUCACUUUCUGUCUUUCUCUCUCUAUCACUCUCUCUCUCUCUCUCCCCACCCACUAACAGGACAAGUCGUUCAUUCUAUGUGUAUGUUGCGCUUCUCUAUUCCGUACUUUGUGGACGGCCUUGUGAAAGAAAACUGUCCAGCGGCACUUUGCUAGUCAGUGGAGCUAAAACAUCAACCGGACAAAACCCCCCUACGGAAUUGCUUGAUAUCCUUGUUAGUACUAAUACAAGGACCACUUUUUUUUUCCAUAAAGGUAACUCACUUUCCAUCAUUUUUCUCUCGUUUUUCUUUUCUU
RNAcentral lists this long non-coding RNA (603 nucleotides) under Octopus vulgaris (common octopus). The record is from RNAcentral. Lineage: Eukaryota; Metazoa; Mollusca; Cephalopoda; Octopoda; Octopodidae.